This 76-nucleotide transfer RNA is filed under the name Thermus antranikianii. RNAcentral describes it as "tRNA-Ala". It matches the Rfam family "tRNA". From Rfam's summary of the family: Transfer RNA (tRNA) molecules are approximately 80 nucleotides in length. Their secondary structure includes four short double-helical elements and three loops (D, anti-codon, and T loops). RNAcentral also lists the same sequence under 2 other names. Lineage: Bacteria; Thermotogati; Deinococcota; Deinococci; Thermales; Thermaceae. The record is from RNAcentral.
GGGGCCGUAGCUCAGCUGGGAGAGCACCUGCUUUGCAAGCAGGGGGUCGAGGGUUCGAAUCCCUUCGGCUCCACCA